This is a long non-coding RNA of Physeter macrocephalus (sperm whale), 1349 nucleotides long. RefSeq lists it as uncharacterized. The record is from RefSeq and is a predicted model, not a curated record. NCBI's taxonomy places the organism in Eukaryota, Metazoa, Chordata, Mammalia, Artiodactyla, Physeteridae. The transcript is spliced from 3 exons.
CCUACUUAACCCCUCCCGGCCCGGCGCCGCGCCCGCCCUGCCACCCGGCUGAGCGCUCUGACUCGCCUCCCCUCGCGUGCUCCCGCCCCCGGGCUCCAGGCUGAGUCACCGCCGCCCGCGCCCGUUCCCUCUCUCCGCCCUUCCGGGGCUUCCUGCGGCCUCCCGCUGACGCCCGAGCCGGGGACACCGGGUGACAAGGGUCCUCUCCGAGGGGCGGCCCUGCCGUGCGCUGGGAUCGGGGGCCUCCAGGGCCUGCCCACCACCCACUCGGGCCCGGCUGCUGAACAAAACCCGGUGGUGGCGGAGGAAGCCACCCCUUUCGCGCCAGACUUCCCAACUGCUCCCGGGCGACUCGAUGAAACCUGAGUUUCUGUUAUUGGAUAGCACCCCCCAUGCCCCGUGGGCUUGGCAAAGACAUUCCAGACAGCAGCCUCGUUCCGCCCGCCCACGUGUGUCCCAGGGCAGGGCAGGCACACCAGGAGUUGCUGUCAUUUCUUGGUUCCAGCUCAGUUGGCACAGCCUUUGGAGAAGACAUCUUGGUUUUAUUCCAUCUCUGAGAUGCAAACUGUAGGCUUUCUCUUCUACUUGUGAAUCUCUCAUCAUCUUGCCGUGAGAAGUGCACACAGGAUCUUAGCAUGCGGGAUCUUAGUUUCCUGACCAGGGAUCGAACCCGUGCCCCAUUUGUUAUAUGUGUUCGUAUGCCUACCAAAAAACUGUGAAGGUAACAUUUUCUCUAGGUGGCUAGGUUUGUUUUGUUGUUUUUGCUUGCCUGCAUUUUCUGUCUUUCUGUACUAAACAUAUAUAACCUGUGUAUUAAAGAAAUAUUAAAAGUUCAAAAUAAAAUUAAAAGUUCAGUUCUUGAGGAAAAAAAGUAUAUUAUUAAUAGCCCAGACCUAACAGGAGAUUAUUUGAAGCCAUGUGUGUAUAUCUAAGUCAAUAAAGGAAUGUGGUUAGAAGAGAAAGGAACAGAUUUAGACUUAUCAGCUGUGUUUGGAAUUUUGAAUAACCUGCUAACCCAAGCAUGCUGUUUAGUUCCUUUUUUUUUUUCUCAUUAAUCUCAUGUGUUCAAAAUGGGAAUGUGAGAAAUUCAUUCACUGCAGUAUGACAAUGUGAUGGAUACAGUCAGCAAACUGUAUUAACUAAGGGGAUUUAAACUUCUCAAAUAUCAUCCAACAUCCUGGCAUGGUGGAAACACCAUUGUUUGGUGAGGAAGGUGUUAACUCUAGCCAACAAGCAAUAGUUUGUGAGAAAAUGGAUUUAAAGACUAAACUUCAGCCACUAGAGUUUUAGAAGUGUACCUCUUCUAAAAUCAUGAAAACGGUCUUUGUCUAAGUAACUUUAUGGUAAUG